CCCCUGGUGAGGUGUUCGUCGCGCCCUUUACCUUAGAUGAAUAACAGAACAGAUGAUGACCAUUGUAAGUAGUUGUCUCCAUUUAGCUUAUGUCCGGUGAUAAACAACGUAGAUGAUUCUCCUAGGCCAUGAAUGACAGGUGUUGGAAGGUAGGAACCCGUGGUGACUUCAGGUGGAGAGGGUGGAAGCUCAUCCGUCGCCAUUUGUAUAUGUGGCGUAAUCGGGAAGGCUUUCUUGGAUCAGUUAUGGAUCUGAUACCAUGAAGCUUUUCAUGAUGAGGUGAAAAAGAAUUCUUCCUCUAAU
This 303-nucleotide long non-coding RNA is filed under the name Carica papaya (papaya). Its description in RNAcentral is "long non-coding RNA (CPAP_LNC007984)". Lineage: Eukaryota; Viridiplantae; Streptophyta; Magnoliopsida; Brassicales; Caricaceae. The record is from RNAcentral.